Molecule: non-coding RNA, 25 nt
Filed under: Rattus norvegicus (Norway rat)
Lineage: Eukaryota; Metazoa; Chordata; Mammalia; Rodentia; Muridae
Source: RNAcentral
UUGACACUAAAAGGACCUCACUCAC